GCCAACGUCUGCUAACGUCAAAAUUGUCUAUUUCCCCCCGUCAGCUAAGGAGUACAAAGUACCUAUAUUAUAGUCUUUCUUUUCCUCUUAGUGUCACCUUAGUUAGACUUGUAGUUACUUGUCUCAUCAUUCUGGAUUUACGCAACGACGACAUUUGGUGUUGCACGUUUCUUCGCUGUUUUAUUGUCCUUUGUAUAGAGCGUAAGUUCUUCUAAUAGACCAACAUAUCUGCGAGCAAGGAUCUGCUUAGGGACAGUGAGAGUGAGACAUCAGCGAAUACAACAACGGAACCAUAUCCAAAUUGUAGCACAAAACUUGUACAGCUGUGAUACCUCCCAAACACCUAUGCAGUUUGGAAUGCUUGUCAGGCGAAUGCAGAUUAAUGUAAAAGAUGUCAAAUGUUAGACAUGUGGAAAAGGCCUGAUAGGAUGUGUGGGCGCCUUUGGUAACAUAGAUUGGAACUUAUGAUUUUUCAUGUUGGCUACACCAAGGCAGUAAUAACUGUGCUGCAAACAAUCUGCAAAACAUGCUUGUCUGUCCAUCUCAGUGAUGAGAUGGCAAAUUUGUUGAGUAAAUCUGACUAAGGAAGCAAAUCUGAGAAGUGUUCCUAAAAGUAACUUGUCCCAGUGUGAUUUUCAUAGCAAUCCAUCAUUUGUUCCAAAGAUUUUUUUAUGAAGCUACAACAUAGAAGGUCUUGACCCAGUAAGCAUCAUACAGGGAGCUCCUAUUUAUGAAAGGAACUUUCUUCAGUAUUGAUACUGGGAUAAAUGACUUUGUUCUCAUCAACUUUCAGUUUAAAGAAACCAUUAACUCCUCAAAGACCACAAGUACACCUGUUACCACCACCCGGUUCCAAAUCGAUGAUUGCUUGGAUUCUAGAAAAAAACAAUGCUCGUGACUCGGUGUCGCCAACGUGAUACAAAGUUAUUCAACUCUUUACAUCAAACCUGUUGAGAAGGAUGCCCCAGGCUGGACACUAUUACUCCAAUUGAAAAUGAAUGGACACAGUUCAUUUAUAGCACUCAUGCAAGAUGCAACCACCAUUUAGACAUCUUAAAAACGUAUUUUAGGAUAUGCAAACUAUGGCACUUAAUUUUUAUAUAAUACUUCGCAUGUUUGUCGCAUAUGAAAAAGAAUAAAAAUGGAAUGUGAUGCCUAGGUAGCAUAAUGAGGUCAGAAGAUUGCCCAACAUCUAUGGAAAAAUGACUUGAUUGAUGAACCAGCUAUAUUUAGCAGGUUGGCUUUAUUGGAGAACUGUUAAACAUUUGAUAUUCAUAAUGUUCGCAAGGCUUUUAAGAAAAUAGUUUUCAUUGCACUGGCGACAAUUCGGAAUGGCGAGGUGCGAAUGAAUCGGAUUAAAAGUCAGCGUGGAAAUGCAAUAGUUCCGCAGCUGGCAAGAAAUGAGAGGACGAUUGGUGAUGAGACAAUUUAUUCUAAUCGCUGUAACUCAUGGACACGUCGACAUUCGUGGUAAUCAAACUUAGAACGUCUGCAAUGCGAAAUUUUUCACCAAUAUAAAGGAAAGCUGCAAACAUAUUUUCAGCAUUUUUAAUAAAAAAAUAAGCGCGUUCAUUCCCUUCAACCAAUUGUCAACGCGAGGCCCCGUAGGAACCUUCCAUACGUCACUUUUAUUGUAGCUGACAGUGACUGUAAUUAUGGCUUACUUAGCCCAUGCUUAUCCAGAGCUGCCUUGUUGAUCCCCGCCCUAAAAACUAUCAUCUUCAAAAGCUUCCAGGUUUGUUGUGGUCGUAGAACAGCAGACGACGAAGUUCAAAGCGGCAUUGUACCAUCGGGCAGAAUCCAAACGGUUGAUGCAUUGAAAAUGUCGGAGCUCUGUUGAUGAAUUUUCACCAGCACUCUUCCACAAGACGCGCGCGAAGCAAACGAUAGCGAAGGAGAUAUGGACUUGAAUUGGUUGUUUACCACCCGUGGCUUUCCCGCAUCCCAGGAUUAGUCUUGUACACCUUUUGCACUUGUACAGAGCGUUCGGGAACGAAAUUAGUUGUGGAUGGGUUUGCUGUUGACAAGCAAGGGAAGGAUUUUUACUACCAAACUAGAUAGGAAUGAAAUUUGUUGUGGCUGGUUUGUUUGUUGACAAGCAAGGGAAGGAUUUUUUUACCAAAGUAGACAGGAUAUUUAUUCUUAAUCCCACAAUGUCUUGACUACAAAUCAUGCUGAAUUAGAAUAGUAUGUUGAUCGAGGCUGGGUGCCAAAGCAAUGGAUGAUAAUUGUAAGCGCGAUUGGAAAUAUCCAUGAUUUAUUAACGUUC
RNAcentral lists this long non-coding RNA (2269 nucleotides) under Daphnia magna. RNAcentral's name for it is "uncharacterized LOC123473689, transcript variant X6". Lineage: Eukaryota; Metazoa; Arthropoda; Branchiopoda; Diplostraca; Daphniidae. The record is from RNAcentral.